Molecule: long non-coding RNA, 278 nt
Filed under: Elaeis guineensis (African oil palm)
Lineage: Eukaryota; Viridiplantae; Streptophyta; Magnoliopsida; Arecales; Arecaceae
Description: long non-coding RNA (EGUI_LNC073655)
Source: RNAcentral
GGCAAUCGAGCAUCAGAGUCCAUUGAUAUGAAACCCUGAUCAAAAAGUCCCAAACCAGUGGGACUCUUGACCCCGGUACCCAAAAUGUGUGGAACUCGUGAUUAGAGAAUCCUGAUUCUCAAUCAUAGAGUUUCAGACAUGUAUGACUCAAAGUCCAUGAGCAUUAAGACUCUUCACCAGCCAUCAGAUCAGAUAGGAACCUCUAAUGUGUGUGACCCCGCAGGUUCGAACCUAAGCCGGUAGCACAAGAACCAAUUCCUGUACUAAUCGAAGUGACC